This 553-nucleotide long non-coding RNA is filed under the name Cyanistes caeruleus (blue tit). Its description in RNAcentral is "lncRNA (ENSCCEG00000015721.1)". The record is from RNAcentral. Lineage: Eukaryota; Metazoa; Chordata; Aves; Passeriformes; Paridae.
AUUGUGACUGAAGUCUUUUUCCAAGGAUCUGUGUGCUACAGACAGAUUUUUUUUUUUUUACCAGAGCAAAUUCAAGUGCAGCUUUAGCCUUUCGUACUCAGUCUCCAUCGACCUGUCAGAGACAUCACAGUGAUUGACUGCCCUGGCAGAUGUGCCGCUAUAACAGCAAGAGUUCUAUCAAGAUCUCUGCAAGCCCAGGGCAUUGAGAAGUUGCUGAAGAACAUUCAUCUCAACUUGAGCCUGAAGAUCUUCUAAGCUGCAAUAGCUUUUGGCAUAGAUAGAGAGUGCAAAAAACUUGCACUUCCAGUGGAUUCACAGUAACUCUGCAGAACUCAAGGUGGUAUUGCUAAGAGCACAGAAUAAUUUCCUUUGUUGGAUGGGAAGACUACAUAAGGCUGCAAAAUCUUUUGGAGCUGGAGGCUGAGUUUUCUUCAUGAAUGCCACAACUUUGCUGAGGAAUUAUUUUAUCAACCAUUAGGUACUGUGCAUCUGAAAAAAAAGUUGUGGAAUCAGAAGGAAUAAAGUUGUCUGGAUGAAUCUGGAUGGGAAAAAG